This is a long non-coding RNA of Uranotaenia lowii, 575 nucleotides long. RefSeq lists it as uncharacterized. The record is from RefSeq and is a predicted model, not a curated record. NCBI's taxonomy places the organism in Eukaryota, Metazoa, Arthropoda, Insecta, Diptera, Culicidae. The transcript has 3 exons.
UUUGUUUACAUUUCAUUGCGAGAAAAAGGUGAAAAUUAGGACUCGGGAAAAAACGGAAGAUGCUUGAGACUUCAAUUCCGGGUGCAACGGUAGCUGUAUUAGCUCCCGAAAGUACAGACAUGGCAUCAGCAACAACGAACAAAGCGAAUCCUAAAAAAUUGGCUUGUUCCGAACUCUAGCUUAAUCUCAUAUUUGCAACUGAAAGAUCCCAAGGAUUUCAAUCUAGACGCUGUAAAUAGUCCCGAAAAAUGCUGCGCUCUAAAUCUCUGUAAUUGCUACAAAUCAAUAUGGUCUUAUUCGCCAUUCGGAUACUGUCUGUAUACCUCAAUGGAAAUCAAGUGCUGUAUCAUCUGUGCCGAGAGAAAUUGUGGCUCGUUGCACGUUUGGAAUAAAACAACCGACCACCCUUUGGGGUUUGAAAAUACAUUGUACUGGCCCCUCCGAAAUCGGAAUUUAACCAUAAACAGCUUCAUUCUAUUCCGGCUCAAAUCGGUUCGAGCAGAAAUGGUGCUAACACAGGGAAUUUCAGCGAACGAUUUAUAGAGAAAAUAUAUGUUCGAUUAUAGACUAUCAAA